Molecule: non-coding RNA, 134 nt
Organism: Hordeum vulgare subsp. vulgare (domesticated barley)
Lineage: Eukaryota; Viridiplantae; Streptophyta; Magnoliopsida; Poales; Poaceae
Source: Rfam
UAAGUACUCCAUCCGUCCCAAAAUUCUUGUCUUAAGUUUGUCUAGAAAUGAAUGUAUCAAAACACUAAAACGUGACUAUAGAUUCAUAUCUAAACAAAUCUAAGACAAGAUUUUUGGGACGGAGGGAGUAUUUG